RNAcentral lists this long non-coding RNA (534 nucleotides) under Coturnix japonica (Japanese quail). Its description in RNAcentral is "lncRNA (ENSCJPG00005002589.1)". Lineage: Eukaryota; Metazoa; Chordata; Aves; Galliformes; Phasianidae. The record is from RNAcentral.
AUGGGGUUAGAUGGGGUUAGAUGGGGUUAGAUGGGGGGAUAUGGGGGGGAUAUGGGGGGAAUAUGGGGUUAUAUGGGGGUAUAUGGGGGUAUAUGGGGUUAGAUGGGGUUAGAUGGGGGAUAUAUGGGGUUGUAUGGGGGUAUAUGGGGCUAGAUGGGAUUAUAUGGGGUUAGAUGGGGUUAUAUGGGGGAUAUAUGGGGUUAUAUGGGGAGAUAUAUGGGGUUAGAUGGGGUUAUAUGGAAGGAAUAUGGGGUUAUAUGGAAGGAAUAUGGGGUUAUAUGGGGUUAUAUGGGGAGAUAUAUGGGGUUAGAUGGGGUUAUAUGGGGGGAUAUGGGGGGAUAUGGGGGGAGAUAUAUAGGGUUAUAUAGGGUUAUAUGGGGUUAUAUGGGGGGGUAUAUGGGGUUAUAUGGAGGUUAUAUGGGGAGAUAUAUGGGGUUAUAUAGGGUUAUAUGGGGGGAAUAUGGGGUUAGAUGAGGGAUAUAUGAGGUUGUAUGGGGUUAUAUAGGGUUAUAUGGGAGUUAUAUGGGGAGAUAU